UACGGAGGGGGCUAGCGUUGUUCGGAAUUACUGGGCGUAAAGCGCGCGUAGGCGGCUUUGUAAGUCAGAGGUGAAAGCCUGGAGCUCAACUCCAGAACUGCCUUUGAAACUACAUCGCUAGAAUCAUGGAGAGGUUAGUGGAAUUCCGAGUGUAGAGGUAAAAUUCGUAGAUAUUCGGAAGAACACCAGUGGCGAAGGCGACUAACUGGACAUGUAUUGACGCUGAGGUGCGAAAGCGUGGGGAGCAAACAGG
Molecule: ribosomal RNA, 253 nt
Filed under: uncultured bacterium
Lineage: Bacteria
Description: partial 16S ribosomal RNA
Rfam family: Bacterial small subunit ribosomal RNA
Source: RNAcentral